GUGCUGCGCGCCGCGGGAACGGGGGCUCGCCGUCUUCGGGACGGCGAUGGCCUCGCCGGUUCUGACCGCCUCGGCACC
Molecule: transfer RNA, 78 nt
Filed under: Microbacterium sp. Bi128
Lineage: Bacteria; Bacillati; Actinomycetota; Actinomycetes; Micrococcales; Microbacteriaceae
Description: tRNA-Arg
Source: RNAcentral